AUGGAUCUAGAGAACUUCUGUGUGCGCUCAGAAAUAUUAAAUGGCUCCGCUACCGUCACCCAGGCACGAAGGCACAACUGGGCCACAGGGGUUUUUUUUUUUUUUUUUUUUUUUUUUGUGCGGUACGCGGGCCUCUCACUGUUGUGGCCUCUCCCGUUGCGGAGCACAGGCUCCGGACGCGCAGGCCCAGCGGCCAUGGCUCACGGGCCCAGCCGCUCCGCGGCAUGUGGGAUCUUCCCGGACCGGGGCUUGAACCCGCGUCCCCUGCAUUGGCAGGCGGACUCUCAACCACUGCGCCACCAGGAAAGCCCAAGGCACAGUGGAUUUUACUCUCACCAGAGAGGCCGUCUAGUACCAGCUCCCGGGUUCAAUGCCGCCAAAGGGUCCACCUGCUCUACCUCUUGGGCCGGUGCCCCGCGCCUAACGAAAGCCUCCGCGCGGAAGCGGCGGGCGGCCUCCAACUCCCGCCCGCUCACUGACAGCCAUGCUCCUGCCAAGACUCAAGCUCCGCGUGGCCCGACGCUCGCUUCUAACGGCUUCCCGCGCCCGGCGGGCCUCCGGCGGGGCCUCGCACCCCCCAGCCCUCCACCUCCCCAGCCCCUGUCACUGUCCCAACGCCCGCGGUCCCGAGAGCCCGGAGGAGGCAGGGAGAGCAGCCGGCCCCCAGCUGCAAGCCAAGGGAACCCGCCUCCACCUCCAGGUCCGGGGAAGCCCCACCGAUACGUCGGUGAGAGCGCCGAACGCGACGCCCGAAGCUUCCGGAGACCUUACACGUCCUCAGCAGGCACACGCCCCCGCCGAAACGGCUCGUCGGCCCUCUCGCGAGAGAGUGCCUGGUGGCACCUCCUUCUCUUCAGCAGUCUUUCUCUCCCCGCCCCCAGAGUGCUCGCGCGGCUUCCUCCGGGAGGCGGGAGGCUUGGACGUGGCGGGGCCCGGCCAGCCAGGGUGCCGGGCCUGGGGCGCUCUGCUCGGCCUCUCGGCAGCUGGCCUUCCGCGCCACCUUCAAGCCCCCGACAGGCCCCGUCCCUUCCCAGGUAG
RNAcentral lists this long non-coding RNA (1038 nucleotides) under Monodon monoceros (narwhal). RNAcentral describes it as "lncRNA (ENSMMNG00015006090.1)". The record is from RNAcentral. Lineage: Eukaryota; Metazoa; Chordata; Mammalia; Artiodactyla; Monodontidae.